CGUGUGCUCUUUCUCUCUCUCUCACUCUCCCCCGCCCCCCACCGUGCGCUCCCUCACUCUCUCCUCUUCGAAUCUUUGGGUUGGCGUGCCCUCACGCUUCGAGGAUGCAUUCUCCUGCUAACUUCUAAAUAAAAUAGAGCUGUAACAGUGAUUUGCCUAAGAGCUAUAACAUGGUUUGUCCAAGACCCGAGAGCUGUGAUGUGCCGAGGGCUUUAAUGUCUGUCGCUCCCAAUCUUUGUUGUGACGAGACAAAGAACUGAGGAACAUACACUCGCGUGACAUCUAUGGUGCCGUGACUCGGAUUUAACCUGGCUGAAACAACCUCCGCGUGGAAGAGGCCAAGCAUAGCAGGAUCCCAACUCAGUGAAGCUCCCGCGCUAGAAGCAGAAGGUGAAGAAACCCAGCGCAGGGGAAGGCCCAUCGUGCUGGAAACCGGGACAGCAAAAAACAAACUCAGCAGAAAGCUCAUGUGGCCCAGUCUCAGAUUCCAGAAGACCUCCAGUUAAGGUCAUCCAGAGGACCCAAGACAUGGUGGUUACUAGUGGACUUCCCACAGUACUUCUUCAUUCCAUGUGGACUCCUUCAAGGGCAGUGAGCAUCACAGCUUCCCUUGAAGUUCGUCUGGAAAAGCAAAUGCUGUUCAAGGACACUGAAAGAACCCUGAUGUUGAAAAUCAAAUCUGUAUUGUGAGCAAUGCUUAGAAAUCCAUGAGUUGACGCAUAGUAUUAUGCCUAUCAUCCUUGUAUUUCCCUCAGUGAAAUAUUUUGAGAAAAGCUCUUCAUUCAUGGUGCAGAUUCAUGAAGAAGCUAAACAGCAUUAAUCGUUUACACUGACAACUGUGAAUUUAAAUUUCCUGUGAAUCCUAUGUGAGAACCACACAUACCAACAUGAUUUAUUAGUAUUAUAU
Molecule: long non-coding RNA, 907 nt
Organism: Bubalus bubalis (water buffalo)
Lineage: Eukaryota; Metazoa; Chordata; Mammalia; Artiodactyla; Bovidae
Exons: 3
Source: RefSeq, a predicted model, not a curated record